AGUGAACGCUGGCGGUAGGCCUAACACAUGCAAGUCGAACGGAAGCACAGUAAGAGCUUGCUCUUACGGGUGGCGAGUGGCGGACGGGUGAGGAAUACAUCGGAAUCUACUUUUUCGUGGGGGAUAACGUAGGGAAACUUACGCUAAUACCGCAUACGACCUACGGGUGAGAUCAGGGGAUAUUCGGACCUUGCGCGAUUGAAUGAGCCGAUGUCGGAUUAGCUAGUUGGCGGGGUAAAGGCCCACCAAGGCGACGAUCCGUAGCUGGUCUGAGAGGAUGAUCAGCCACACUGGAACUGAGACACGGUCCAGACUCCUACGGGAGGCAGCAGUGGGGAAUAUUGGACAAUGGGCGCAAGCCUGAUCCAGCCAUACCGCGUGGGUGAAGAAGGCCUUCGGGUUGUAAAGCCCUUUUGUUGGGAAAGAAAAGCAGCAGGUUAAUACCCCGCUGUUCUGACGGUACCCAAAGAAUAAGCACCGGCUAACUUCGUG
This 492-nucleotide ribosomal RNA is filed under the name uncultured bacterium. RNAcentral's name for it is "partial 16S ribosomal RNA". It matches the Rfam family "Bacterial small subunit ribosomal RNA", at positions 29 to 507 of the family's 1533-position model. The record is from RNAcentral.